GACGAACGCUGGCGGCGUGCUUAACACAUGCAAGUCGAACGGAAAGGCCCUGCUUUUGUGGGGUGCUCGAGUGGCGAACGGGUGAGUAACACGUGAGUAACCUGCCCUUGACUUUGGGAUAACUUCAGGAAACUGGGGCUAAUACCGGAUAGGAGCUCCUGCUGCAUGGUGGGGGUUGGAAAGUUUCGGCGGUUGGGGAUGGACUCGCGGCUUAUCAGCUUGUUGGUGGGGUAGUGGCUUACCAAGGCUUUGACGGGUAGCCGGCCUGAGAGGGUGACCGGCCACAUUGGGACUGAGAUACGGCCCAGACGCCUACGGGAGGCAGGAGUGGGGAAUAUUGCACAAGGGGCGGAAGCCUGAUGCAGCAACGCCGCGUGCGGGAUGACGGCCUUCGGGUUGUAAACCGCUUUCGCCUGUGACGAAGCGUGAGUGACGGUAAUGGGUAAAGAAACACCGGCUAACUACGU
RNAcentral lists this ribosomal RNA (467 nucleotides) under uncultured bacterium. RNAcentral describes it as "partial 16S ribosomal RNA". It matches the Rfam family "Bacterial small subunit ribosomal RNA", at positions 28 to 506 of the family's 1533-position model. The record is from RNAcentral.